UACGUAGGGGGCAAGCGUUGUCCGGAUUUAUUGGGCGUAAAGAGCGUGUAGGCGGCCGUACAGGUCAGCUGUGAAAACUCAAGGCUCAACCUCGAGACGUCGGUUGAAACCGUACGGCUAGAGUCCGGAAGAGGAGAGUGGAAUUCCCGGUGUAGCGGUGAAAUGCGCAGAUAUCGGGAAGAACACCCGUGGCGAAGGCGGCUCUCUGGGACGGUACUGACGCUGAGACGCGAAAGCGUGGGGAGCGAACAGG
This 253-nucleotide ribosomal RNA is filed under the name uncultured bacterium. Its description in RNAcentral is "partial 16S ribosomal RNA". It matches the Rfam family "Bacterial small subunit ribosomal RNA", at positions 524 to 776 of the family's 1533-position model. The record is from RNAcentral.